RNAcentral lists this ribosomal RNA (765 nucleotides) under Triticum aestivum (bread wheat). RNAcentral's name for it is "partial small subunit ribosomal RNA". The record is from RNAcentral. Lineage: Eukaryota; Viridiplantae; Streptophyta; Magnoliopsida; Poales; Poaceae.
AUGUGGACCUGUCUUCGUCAGCGCUAUGAGCCCUCUGGUGAUGCCUUAUACCUUUCUGUGGUUCGUCAGGAGCAUGCUCUUCAGCAGGGUGACUCUACUGUUGAUGACUUUUAUGCACAGAGUUCUGCUAUCUGGCGCCAGCUUGAUUCUCUCCGCAGUGCUGGUUGUCGUACUUGCCCCUGCUGCCAGGCUGUCCAGGCCAAUUUGGAGUUUCAUCGCGUCUACGAGUUCCUGUCUCGGCUCCGUAAGGAGUUUGAGCCCCGGCGUGCUCAGUUGUUUGCUCGUGGCCGUAUUUCUCUCAUGGAGGCGCUUUCAGAGAUUCGUGCUGAGGAGACUCGCUUACGUGGUGCUGAUUUGCUGGAGGUUCCCUCUGUGCUCGCUACUCGGGCUUCUUCCACUCCACCUGCUGCACCGCCCCAUUCUCGCUCGAGUGCUCCGCCGCUCUUGCCCACUCCUUCUGGAGGCUCAGGUCGUCCCCGUCCACAUUGUGACUACUGCAACAAUGAUGGUCAUAUUGAGUCCCAGUGCUACACAAAGCGGAAACACCUGCGCAAGGCGCGAUCCUCCUCCUCAGGGACUUCGUCAUCUCCCUCGACAGCUUCAGCCAUUGCUUUGACUGAGCAGGAUAUUCUGAGACUUAAGCGUCUGCUCGCGGCUUCAGGUUCUUCCUCGACGGGUACUGCUGGUUCUGUGACCGAUGCUUCCCGCACUGAGCACCCGCCCUCUACACAGUCAGGUACAUCCCCAUGGGUUCUGGACUCUUGA